UGGGGAAUAUUGGGCAAUGGGGGAAACCCUGACCCAGCGACGCCGCGUGGGUGAUGAAGGCCUUCGGGUCGUAAAGCCCUGUCGGGAGGAACGAAUGACUUCGUGGCAAAUAGCCACGAGGUGUGACGGUACCUCCGAAGGAAGCACCGGCCAACUCCGUGCCAGCAGCCGCGGUAAGACGGAGGGUGCAAGCGUUGCUCGGAAUCACUGGGCGUAAAGGGUGCGUAGGCGGCCUUGUAAGUCUAACGUGAAAGCCCAGGGCUCAGCCCUGGAAGGGCGUUGGAAACUGCGAGGCUUGAGUACCGGAGGGGAGAGUGGAAUUCCCGGUGUAGCGGUGAAAUGCGUAGAUAUCGGGAAGAAUACCGGUGGCGAAAGCGACUCUCUGGACGGUUACUGACGCUGAGGCACGAAAGCGUGGGGAGCAAACAGG
RNAcentral lists this ribosomal RNA (430 nucleotides) under uncultured bacterium. RNAcentral describes it as "bacterial SSU rRNA". It matches the Rfam family "Bacterial small subunit ribosomal RNA", at positions 355 to 776 of the family's 1533-position model. The record is from RNAcentral.